UAGUCAUAUUGUGUCUUAUGGUUUUUUGGUCCUUCCGUCUUAAAAAGAAUGAUUUCAAGAAUGAAGUUUCACAUGCCGAUUUGAAUAGUUUAAUUUUUGUUGGAAUAAUUAGUUCCCUUCCUUCUCAUCUUUUUCUGAACCCACUGGAAAAAAAAAAAGACAAAGGAGAGAGGCAGAGAGACACCAAAAUAACAUCUUUCCUAUUGAUAAAGCUGACGUUGGAGAAAGUGGAAUAUAUCUGUGGCCAAAUGGACUUCCUAAUCCUGAGUCCACGUGCUGGCUGCACCAGCCGAUCUGGUCAGAGGCAGAAGCAGACCACUGCUGGCCUCCACACACGGGAAGCGUGGAGAGGUUUACUGCUGUGCUUGCCAGGGGUUUGACAGCCAUCUAGAGCAUGUUUUCUCUGCUAUUUCCUACAAGGAAGAAGAGACAGGAAGGGGCUGGGCUGUGCAUGCUUGGUUUCUUCCCACAGAUUCCUCAAUUAGGAUGUCAGCUCCACGAGGAAAGGGAUGGAUUCUGUCAUUUUCAACAGCCAUAACCCAGCACCUGGAAAAGCCUGGCACAGAAUAGUUGCUCAAGUAUUAGGGGGUCAUUUUACGUUCUUUGAACAAUGAUGACAGAUCUUCUAUCCUGUUCUUCCCUGCCCUAAUAAG
This is a long non-coding RNA of Prionailurus viverrinus (fishing cat), 653 nucleotides long. RefSeq lists it as uncharacterized. The transcript is spliced from 3 exons. The record is from RefSeq and is a predicted model, not a curated record. Lineage: Eukaryota; Metazoa; Chordata; Mammalia; Carnivora; Felidae.